AAAAUAACUUCAGCUGACUCAGUUUGCUGCUGAUGUGAAUCAGCAAUUCACCGCAGUGAACACCAUAUUGCUGCCCAUAGAGGAGAGGAUGGCUGCUUUGGAAUCCCACUGCUGCCCAAGUGUGGAGGAGACUACGAGGGAAAGACGGGCGCACAAUCCCAAAAUUAAGGAAGUGGUGCGUCAUCUUCACAACUUGGAAGCAAAUUGCAGGCGCUACGAACCGGAGCAAGGACUGAGCUCGCCUCACAACGAGACUGGAAGAUAAACGGAAGUACACGGCUACACAUCACAGACGUCGGCACACUGGACCACAUUCGGACGGAAUGCCGACAAAUACAUACGACUCUGAGGCGGCAAAAAGACAUUUCAUAUUAUACCUAUAUCAAAAAGAUAUUUUUGAUAUAGUUUU
Long non-coding RNA from Megalops cyprinoides (Indo-Pacific tarpon), 409 nucleotides. RefSeq lists it as uncharacterized. The record is from RefSeq and is a predicted model, not a curated record. The transcript is spliced from 3 exons. Lineage: Eukaryota; Metazoa; Chordata; Actinopteri; Elopiformes; Megalopidae.